UAAGCAUAUCAAUAAGCGGAGGAAAAGAAACCAACAGGGAUUGCCCUAGUAACGGCGAGUGAAGCGGCAACAGCUCAAAUUUGAAAUCUGGCUUCGGCCCGAGUUGUAAUUUGCAGAGGAAGCUUUAGGCGCGGCACUUUCUGAGUCCCCUGGAACGGGGCGCCAUAGAGGGUGAGAGCCCCGUAUAGUUAGAUGCCUAGCCUGUGUAAAGCUCCUUCGACGAGUCGAGUAGUUUGGGAAUGCUGCUCAAAAUGGGAGGUAAAUUUCUUCUAAAGCUAAAUACCGGCCAGAGACCGAUAGCGCACAAGUAGAGUGAUCGAAAGAUGAAAAGCACUUUGAAAAGAGGGUUAAAUAGCACGUGAAAUUGUUGAAAGGGAAGCGCUUGUGACCAGACUUGCGCCGGGCAGAUCAUCCGGUGUUCUCACCGGUGCACUCUGCCCGGCUCAGGCCAGCAUCGGUUCUCGCGGGGGGAUAAAGGCCCUGGGAACGUAGCUCCUCCGGGAGUGUUAUAGCCCGGGGCGUAAUGCCCUCGCGGGGACCGAGGUUCGCGCAUCUGCAAGGAUGCUGGCGUAAUGGUCAUCAGCGACCCGUCUUGAAACACGGACCAAGGAGUCAAGGUUUUGCGCGAGUGUUUGGGUGUAAAACCCGCACGCGUAAUGAAAGUGAACGUAGGUGAGAGCUUCGGCGCAUCAUCGACCGAUCCUGAUGUUUUCGGAUGGAUUUGAGUAGGAGCGUUAAGCCUUGGACCCGAAAGAUGGUGAACUAUGCUUGGAUAGGGUGAAGCCAGAGGAAACUCUGGUGGAGGCUCGCAGCGGUUCUGACGUGCAAAUCGAUCGUCAAAUCUGAGCAUGGGGGCGAAAGACUAAUCGAACCAUCUAGUAGCUGGUUACCGCCGAAU
This 898-nucleotide ribosomal RNA is filed under the name Chaetomium subaffine. RNAcentral describes it as "LSU rRNA". It matches the Rfam family "Eukaryotic large subunit ribosomal RNA", at positions 35 to 966 of the family's 3401-position model. Lineage: Eukaryota; Fungi; Ascomycota; Sordariomycetes; Sordariales; Chaetomiaceae. The record is from RNAcentral.